This 694-nucleotide ribosomal RNA is filed under the name uncultured Staphylococcus sp. RNAcentral's name for it is "bacterial SSU rRNA". It matches the Rfam family "Bacterial small subunit ribosomal RNA", at positions 61 to 737 of the family's 1533-position model. Lineage: Bacteria; Bacillati; Bacillota; Bacilli; Caryophanales; Staphylococcaceae. The record is from RNAcentral.
GUCGAGCGAACAGACGAGGAGCUUGCUUCUCUGACGUUAGCGGCGGACGGGUGAGUAACACGUGGAUAACCUACCUAUAAGACUGGGAUAACUUCGGGAAACCGGAGCUAAUACCGGAUAAUAUAUUGAACCGCAUGGUUCAAUAGUGAAAGACGGUUUUGCUGUCACUUAUAGAUGGAUCCGCGCCGCAUUAGCUAGUUGGUAAGGUAACGGCUUACCAAGGCAACGAUGCGUAGCCGACCUGAGAGGGUGAUCGGCCACACUGGAACUGAGACACGGUCCAGACUCCUACGGGAGGCAGCAGUAGGGAAUCUUCCGCAAUGGGCGAAAGCCUGACGGAGCAACGCCGCGUGAGUGAUGAAGGUCUUCGGAUCGUAAAACUCUGUUAUUAGGGAAGAACAAAUGUGUAAGUAACUAUGCACGUCUUGACGGUACCUAAUCAGAAAGCCACGGCUAACUACGUGCCAGCAGCCGCGGUAAUACGUAGGUGGCAAGCGUUAUCCGGAAUUAUUGGGCGUAAAGCGCGCGUAGGCGGUUUUUUAAGUCUGAUGUGAAAGCCCACGGCUCAACCGUGGAGGGUCAUUGGAAACUGGAAAACUUGAGUGCAGAAGAGGAAAGUGGAAUUCCAUGUGUAGCGGUGAAAUGCGCAGAGAUAUGGAGGAACACCAGUGGCGAAGGCGACUUUCUGGUCUGU